RNAcentral lists this ribosomal RNA (518 nucleotides) under uncultured bacterium. RNAcentral describes it as "bacterial SSU rRNA". It matches the Rfam family "Bacterial small subunit ribosomal RNA", at positions 992 to 1509 of the family's 1533-position model. The record is from RNAcentral.
AGAACUUAGCAGAGAUUGCUUUGGUGCCUUCGGGAACUCUGAGACAGGUGCUGCAUGGCUGUCGUCAGCUCGUGUUGUGAAAUGUUCGGGUUAAGUCCCGCAACGAGCGCAACCCUUAUCCUUUGUUGCCAGCGGUUAGCCGGGAACUCAAAGGAGACUGCCAGUGAUAAACUGGAGGAAGGUGGGGAUGACGUCAAGUCAUCAUGGCCCUUACGAGUAGGGCUACACACGUGCUACAAUGGCGCAUACAAAGAGAAGCGACCUCGCGAGAGCAAGCGGACCUCAUAAAGUGCGUCGUAGUCCGGAUUGGAGUCUGCAACUCGACUCCAUGAAGUCGGAAUCGCUAGUAAUCGUGGAUCAGAAUGCCACGGUGAAUACGUUCCCGGGCCUUGUACACACCGCCCGUCACACCAUGGGAGUGGGUUGCAAAAGAAGUAGGUAGCUUAACCUUCGGGAGGGCGCUUACCACUUUGUGAUUCAUGACUGGGGUGAAGUCGUAACAAGGUAGGCGUAGUGCU